GACGAACGCUGGCGGCGUGCUUAACACAUGCAAGUCGAACGGAAAGGCCCUGCUUGCAGGGUACUCGAGUGGCGAACGGGUGAGUAACACGUGGGUGAUCUGCCCUGCACUUCGGGAUAAGCCUGGGAAACUGGGUCUAAUACCGGAUAGGAGCCAUUUUUAGUGUGAUGGUUGGAAAGUUUUUUUCGGUGUAGGAUGAGCUCGCGGCCUAUCAGCUUGUUGGUGGGGUAAUGGCCUACCAAGGCGGCGACGGGUAGCCGGCCUGAGAGGGUGGACGGCCACAUUGGGACUGAGGUACGGCCCAGACUCCUACGGGGGGCAGCAGUGGGGAAUAUUGCACAAUGGGCGCAAGCCUGAUGCAGCGACGCCGCGUGGGGGAUGACGGCCUUCGGGUUGUAAACUCCUUUCGCUAGGGACGAAGCUUUUUGUGACGGUACCUAGAUAAGAAGCACCGGCUAACUACGUG
RNAcentral lists this ribosomal RNA (466 nucleotides) under uncultured bacterium. RNAcentral's name for it is "partial 16S ribosomal RNA". It matches the Rfam family "Bacterial small subunit ribosomal RNA", at positions 28 to 507 of the family's 1533-position model. The record is from RNAcentral.